AUUCCCGUACACGAAAGGGCACACAUAAUGAUGACGAGUAGGGCGAGGCACGUGAAACCUUGUCUGAAUAUGGGGGGACCAUCCUCCAAGGCUAAAUACUCCUGACUGACCGAUAGUGAACCAGUACCGUGAGGGAAAGGCGAAAAGAACCCCUGUGAGGGGAGUGAAAUAGAUCCUGAAACCGCAUGCAUACAAGCAGUGGGAGCACCUUCGUGGUGUGACUGCGUACCUUUUGUAUAAUGGGU
This 245-nucleotide ribosomal RNA is filed under the name Acinetobacter baumannii. RNAcentral describes it as "partial 23S ribosomal RNA". It matches the Rfam family "Bacterial large subunit ribosomal RNA", at positions 369 to 620 of the family's 2925-position model. The record is from RNAcentral. Lineage: Bacteria; Pseudomonadati; Pseudomonadota; Gammaproteobacteria; Moraxellales; Moraxellaceae.